GUGUCAGCAGCCGCGGUAAUACGGAGGGUGCAAGCAUUGAUCGGAAUUACUGGGCGUAAAGGGCGCGUAGGCGGCUGAAAAAGUCAGAUGUGAAAUUCCGGGGCUCAACCCCGGAGCUGCAUUUGAAACUUUUCAACUAGAGUACAGUUAGGGAAAACGGAAUUCCACGUGUAGCGGUGAAAUGCGUAGAUAUGUGGAAGAACACCGGUGGUGAAGACGGUUUUCUGGGCUGUUACUGACGCUGAGGCGCGAAAGCAAGGGGAGCAAACAGGAUUAGAUACCCUGGUAGUCCUUGCCUUAAACGAUGCAUACUAGGUGUAGGAGGGCUCAACCCCCUCUGUACCGGAGCUAACGCAUUAAGUAUGCCGCCUGGGGAGUACGCUCGCAAGGGUGAA
This 395-nucleotide ribosomal RNA is filed under the name uncultured bacterium. RNAcentral describes it as "bacterial SSU rRNA". It matches the Rfam family "Bacterial small subunit ribosomal RNA", at positions 505 to 898 of the family's 1533-position model. The record is from RNAcentral.